RNAcentral lists this ribosomal RNA (1034 nucleotides) under uncultured bacterium. Its description in RNAcentral is "bacterial SSU rRNA". It matches the Rfam family "Bacterial small subunit ribosomal RNA", at positions 336 to 1393 of the family's 1533-position model. The record is from RNAcentral.
CUCCUACUGGAGGCAGCAGUGGGGAAUAUUGUACAAUGGAGGAAACUCUGAUGCAGCGACGCCGCGUGAAGGAUGAAGUAUUUCGGUAUGUAAACUUCUAUCAGCAGGGAAGAAAAUGACGGUACCUGACUAAGAAGCCCCGGCUAACUACGUGCCAGCAGCCGCGGUAAUACGUAGGGGGCAAGCGUUAUCCGGAUUUACUGGGUGUAAAGGGAGCGUAGACGGCACGGCAAGCCAGAUGUGAAAGCCCGGGGCUCAACCCCGGGACUGCAUUUGGAACUGCUGAGCUAGAGUGUCGGAGAGGCAAGUGGAAUUCCUAGUGUAGCGGUGAAAUGCUUAGAUAUCACGAAGAACUCCGAUUGCGAAGGCAGCCUGCUAAGCUGCAACUGACAUUGAGGCUCGAAAGUGUGGGUAUCAAACAGGAUUAGAUACCCUGGUAGUCCACACGGUAAACGAUGAAUACUCGCUGUUUGCGAUAUACUGCAAGCGGCCAAGCGAGAGCGUUAAGUAUUCCACCUGGGGAGUACGCCGGCAACGGUGAAACUCAAAGGAAUUGACGGGGGCCCGCACAAGCGGAGGAACAUGUGGUUUAAUUCGAUGAUACGCGAGGAACCUUACCCGGGCUUAAAUUGCAGAUGAAUUACGGUGAAAGCCGUAAGCCGCAAGGCAUCUGUGAAGGUGCUGCAUGGUUGUCGUCAGCUCGUGCCGUGAGGUGUCGGCUUAAGUGCCAUAACGAGCGCAACCCUUGUUGUCAGUUACUAACAGGUUUUGCUGAGGACUCUGACAAGACUGCCAUCGUAAGAUGUGAGGAAGGUGGGGAUGACGUCAAAUCAGCACGGCCCUUACGUCCGGGGCUACACACGUGUUACAAUGGGGGGUACAGAGGGCCGCUACCACGCGAGUGGAUGCCAAUCCCCAAAACCUCUCUCAGUUCGGACUGGAGUCUGCAACCCGACUCCACGAAGCUGGAUUCGCUAGUAAUCGCGCAUCAGCCACGGCGCGGUGAAUACGUUCCCGGGCCUUGUACACACCGC